This is a long non-coding RNA of Thamnophis elegans (Western terrestrial garter snake), 1952 nucleotides long. RefSeq lists it as uncharacterized. The transcript is spliced from 3 exons. The record is from RefSeq and is a predicted model, not a curated record. Lineage: Eukaryota; Metazoa; Chordata; Lepidosauria; Squamata; Natricidae.
UUGCAACAGUUAAAGGGGCAAGAAAUACGUCUUCGAUUAAGAUGAGUAAAUCCCCCCUUUUAGUGGGUGAACGAGCCCCGCCCUCCACUUGUUCCUGUUAUGUUACUUUCGUUUCCCCUGAGUCUUUGGAGUUUCUCGUCUUGAGCGGUCGCCGUGAGAAUAUUCUGAUUACUUGUUUACAAAAUAGCAUGGAAUUAAUAUGUGGACCCUCCCGUGCCUGCCGCUUCUCCCCCGCAGCCAUCCACCCGCGGUCUUCUCAGCCACGCAGCCCCCGCAGCUCUUAUAGACAGGAGGAUUUCAGGGCAGAAUUAGCGGACAGGGAAGAGUUUGCAAAGGCGCCAUAUAAAUGUACCGAGAUUCAAUAUUUGAAGUUCAUUGUUCAAAGAGGAGGGUGGAUGGGUUGGUUUUUGCUUUACGUUGACUUCCAAUUAAUGCAGCUCAAGAAGGAAGAAGCUUCCUCUUAAGGCCUGUACAAAUCCUAACUAGUGGGAUUAAUUCUGACCCUUUGAUCAGAGUUUUCAAAACCUGGAGUGUUAACUAGAUGUAGGACUUUACUGAAUCGCUUCACUUUUUUCUGAGGUUGUUUCAUUAGGAAACCCAGGCUGAGGGUCCAAUUGUGUUCUGACAAGAAACCUCACCUCAUAUGUGAAGCAAAGGUGGGAUACAGAUCUUGCUCUUGUGUCCUUCACAGUAACCUAUGUCCAAAUUGGUAUGACCUUCCUGGAAAAUGGCAAUCAAUAUGACCCUCCAUGCCUGAUGCCUUUAGAUCCAUCUCCCAGUAACAAGACAGGAGGGCAGAUACAAUAAAAUCUUGUCCAAAUGGAAAUGUCAUUUAGCUGGGGGAUCUGAGGUGGUGCUAAGAUCAGAAAAAGACGUUUUGCAUUGAAAAACGUUAUGUUCUGAUUAACUUUUCCUCAUCUGAUGUCCAUGGAGAUUCAAAAUCAACCAGGACAUGGUUGUCCCAAAGAUGCUUUUCAAAAGGCAACUGGACUUUCUUGGUUUUUUCCCUGAAAACUUCUCAAGCAAGAAACCUAUUUGGUUCUGGCAGAAAGAUGGAGAAAGGACAGAUUUCUAUCCCUGAGAAAGUUGUAUAUUUUUUUUACUAUCCUGCUCCCUGAAGCCUUCUGGAAAUCUUCUUCAGUUUUACUGCAGGCAAAUAUUAUUUCAUAAAGUGACAUUAAGGAGAAGGCCCAGAAUUUGCCUCCUUGAUGUUAAGACAUUAACUUUUCUUAACUUGUUUGUUUUCAGGUAUCUUAGCUGUGGCAUCACUUCCAGCAAGAAUGGCCACUGGAACCGCAGUUCUCAUCACCUCUAAUGGAGCAAACAUAAUCCAAACGGCUCCUGGAUUGUCCAGUGUUGCUCUUCAGACAUCUGGAGCAACUCCAUAUCCCCAUUAUGGAGCUCAGCAAAUUCCCACCAGUGCUCCUCAACAAGUCCCACAAAAUGGUCCUUUGGAAAUAUUCCUCAAGGCUGAAACCAGGCCUUGGGUCAACACCUGCACUGGCAGCUUAGAAGCCCCAACACCUUUGAAGGACCUUUCAAAGAUGGAUAUAAAGUGAUGCCUUUCCUGGGGUGCUAACAAAUAAGAAUGUUUUUUUCUCAGAAUCAGCGAACAAAGUUGUCUUACUGUGUGUUUUCCUUCUGCAGGCUGUCCAAAUAUUGAUUGGGCUGAUCCACAUCCUCUAUGGGGCUGUCUCCCUUUCUUCAAUUUCUUCUCCUGACUCCCCCCGCAGCUUGUGUACAGUUGGAGGUUACCCCUUUUGGGGAGGGAUAUUUUUUAUUUCUUCUGGAUCACUUUGUGUAUCAGCUGCGAACAGUCCAAAUCAUGUUUUGGUGAAUUUUAGUGUAGCAAUGAACAUCACAAGUGCUAUAAUGUCAUUAAUUGAUAGCAUCCUAUCAACCUAUCUAACCUAUCCGAGCUGAUAAUCUACAGUUAUAGUUUUGAAAGUGAC